UUAAGGACGAGCUGGUGAUCCUUGCUGAGUUGGAUCGUAUACUUCUUCCUCAGCUGGUGAUCCUUUGCCGAUAUCUGAAACCCAUAAUCAAAAUCAGAGGAAGAGUUGUUUCAGAGAUUGCUCUCGAAGAAGAUGAAAAAAUGUCAAAACCAGUAGCUUACCGUAGCUUAAUGAAGAAAACAAAGAGACCCUUUUCUCGAUUUCUCAAGUUUGAUUCAUAUAACUUUUCUCGAUUUCUCAAAUUCGAUUGACAGAGAGCUUGAAGAGGAUACGAUCUAAGAAGAGCGACGGCUUGAGAAAGAUGUAAAGUGAAACCUAACGACGUCUUUUUCUCUUUAAAAAAAAAAAAACAAAACGGGUAACGGGUCCGAAAUUUUAUAUUCACUCCGCCCAUUUAUUAAACGGGCCUUAAUGGGUAACCCGGUAUGGACCCAUUAAAUUUUACAUACAAAUAAACGGGUAACGGGCCAGAAAUUUUAUACAGAUCCCGUUAGAGCCCACGGGUUUGAAGCCCGUAUUAACAUCCCUAGCUAGGAUGUUGAAUAUUAAAAUGG
RNAcentral lists this long non-coding RNA (554 nucleotides) under Brassica rapa (field mustard). RNAcentral describes it as "long non-coding RNA (BRAP_LNC002575)". The record is from RNAcentral. Lineage: Eukaryota; Viridiplantae; Streptophyta; Magnoliopsida; Brassicales; Brassicaceae.